Long non-coding RNA from Homo sapiens (human), 277 nucleotides. The record is from Ensembl. NCBI's taxonomy places the organism in Eukaryota, Metazoa, Chordata, Mammalia, Primates, Hominidae.
UCGUGGCCUUGGAAGGGUGGUUGAUUUACUAGAUGAACCAGAUACCACCGGAGAAGUCUUAGAUUUCGUUACUUUACUUCCUUCCAGUUUGGAAUGUACAUGCUCAUCAGCUGAGAAAUUUACAACUAAAAUGAAAAGUGCCUCGGAAUGAAAUAUUAAAUCCAAGCUGGUGUCUGUCCACCUGUCCUUAGGAAGUCUCAACUUACGAAGUCCACAAAAUUUCUCAAAAAAGAGUUUUAUCACUUUGAAUUUGUCCCCUGCUUAAAAUCCCUCAAAA